Priapulus caudatus is the source of this 236-nucleotide long non-coding RNA. RefSeq lists it as uncharacterized. NCBI's taxonomy places the organism in Eukaryota, Metazoa, Priapulida, Priapulimorpha, Priapulimorphida, Priapulidae. The record is from RefSeq and is a predicted model, not a curated record. The transcript is spliced from 3 exons.
GUCAAACUAAAAGACUUGGACUUCAUCCAUUGUCAGGCGAUGUCUAUGCAAUUUUCUUCAUACAAAGAGGAAGUUUGCGAUGCACUCGUGGUCCUGAGCCUACUUCCCACUGCUGAGCGAGUGACCGUAACCUUAUUGAAGUUCAGAUUCAAAAAAUCCUUUCCCGGAGUUAAAGGCAUUUACGCUAAGGUUGGUCUUGUUUACAACUCGCGCACGCUACGAAAGAAGAAAAGCAG